CGUCAGAGGCUGUGGAGUCAUGGCAGGUAAACUCCGCCAGGGCCGGAAGGCAGCAACGGUAGCUUGUCCAUGAUUGCCGCAGUUCUCUGGCACUU
Molecule: signal recognition particle RNA, 95 nt
Filed under: Verrucomicrobiales bacterium
Lineage: Bacteria; Pseudomonadati; Verrucomicrobiota; Verrucomicrobiia; Verrucomicrobiales
Description: signal recognition particle sRNA small type
Rfam family: Bacterial small signal recognition particle RNA
About the family: The signal recognition particle (SRP) is a universally conserved ribonucleoprotein involved in the co-translational targeting of proteins to membranes. Archaeal SRP consists of a 7S RNA and homologues of the eukaryotic SRP19 and SRP54 proteins. In most bacteria, the SRP consists of a 4.5S RNA and the Ffh protein (a homologue of the eukaryotic SRP54 protein).
Source: RNAcentral